AGUACACACCAGGAUUCUGCGUGUCAUUGUCCUCUGUCCGCCAAAAAUCAUUUUUGACACAUGACACAAGCUUUCUCUAAAACACCUUGGGGGGAAGUAUACUUCAGAUAUGGCUUCUGGGGUAAAAUAAAUCCUAGGCCAGAGAAACCAGCUUCCUCUCAAGACCCCUUACCUGUUAGAAACCAGAGACACAGCAAGAAUUUUUUUUACACCAAAGGAUGCCAUUGUCUAUGAACAUGUGGUUGUCAGUGCUCUGAUUACCUUCUAAUUGCUUUCAGCAAAACACAGAGCAGUCAUAUACAACAAAGUGACCAGCAUGGUCCCCUCAAAGCUCCCUAGCAUGUUUGUUACUAUAAAGUGUGUGAGUGUGAGAAUGGACUUUGCCAAAUACAUUUUUCUGCUUUUGAAUUGGCCAAAAGGUUUCAGCAUAUUUAUUCUACAAACAUUGCGCACACACCUCUGAAAUAUAUGCCAAUAAUUGAUGUCCUUUACCUCAGGGAGAGUUAGUUCAAGUCUACACAAGGGAAAUUAGUGGCCCCCCUAAGUAGAUCCAAACAAUUGUGCCCCAUCAUGGAUAGGACUGGCUGGAAUGCUUUGGAGAGAAAGUCAGAGCAAAAAAGAGAACUGGAGCCUCUUCUCCAUGGACUGCAAAUGGUCAAAGAAUGGUAGGCAACUAUGCUUUCUUUUCCCAUGGCCCUGAUGGGCCCCUAUCUUCCCUACACAGCUGUGUCUUCAUUUAUAAAAUGGGGGUGACGCUUUCAUAGUGGCUUUACCCCUUCCUACCUCACAGAUGUGUUGUGAGGAUUAAUGAAAUUGUGUAUACAGUGUUUUCAGUUUCUGGAGAAAAACUAUUUAUGGACAUUUCGAGUAUUAUAUAGAUAUAUAAGUGAUCUCAGUUUCUUACUCACUGUUAUACUGGUGUGCUGUUUUUACUUACUCUGUAAAACUACAGUUAAUGUCACGGCCACCUCAGAUGGCUAUCAGAGCUCUGAAACUUCCCUCCCGCACACCUGACUGAUGUUGAGUUAGCUGUUUUGGGGACCACAGAGGAUGUCUCCCUCCAGCUGAAAAGGUGGUCCAGGACACAGGUCUCACAAACCUGCAUCAGGAUCCAGGUUAGCAUGCCACACCUGGAUGCCUCAGCACUUCCAGAAGAAGGCCUCUGACUUUCACACCCCGAGGUCUCGGAGGAGUAGAUUAUGAUCUGAUGUCAUCUGCCCUUCGUCUUGCUUGCAAGGGUGCAUGGUUCGAUCCUAUGCAUCUUGAAAAUGAAUUUUGUGAUUGGUCCAGAUGCUAAUUUGCACGUCGAUUCACCUUCAUUGCCUUUAACCUUCUUUUGAGGGCAAAUGGAUGUACCAUUUCAACUUUGAUCUCAGAAGCGUUAGUUUGUAUUGACUCAUUGUCACGUUGCUCUCUUGGAGUAAAGUUAGCUGACAUCGUUUAAAGAUGGGAAGGUGUGCAACUUCUUUGAUAUUUGAUGACAUCAUAUCUACAUUUGUUGUAAGACAUAUUGCAUACCAAUUAUAACUAUGCCAAUUAAAGUGGUUAAAAGCUUG
Molecule: long non-coding RNA, 1556 nt
Filed under: Mus musculus (house mouse)
Lineage: Eukaryota; Metazoa; Chordata; Mammalia; Rodentia; Muridae
Description: long non-coding RNA chr5:91625187-91626743
Source: RNAcentral